AAAUUUCACCCAAACAGUGUAGUUCUGUCUCAAAGAGUGUAAUUUUUUUAAAAAAAAUUACACUAUUUUAUAUAAAAUUUACAUUCUUUGGGAUGAGAGUUGCACUCUUUAGGCGAACGUUGUACUAUUUGGGUGAAAUUUAUACUAUUUGGGAUGACAAAUAUUACACUUUUUAGGUGAACGUUGCACUAUUUGGGUGAAUU
RNAcentral lists this long non-coding RNA (203 nucleotides) under Ananas comosus (pineapple). Its description in RNAcentral is "long non-coding RNA (ACOM_LNC034490)". Lineage: Eukaryota; Viridiplantae; Streptophyta; Magnoliopsida; Poales; Bromeliaceae. The record is from RNAcentral.